This 259-nucleotide ribosomal RNA is filed under the name uncultured bacterium. RNAcentral describes it as "partial 16S ribosomal RNA". It matches the Rfam family "Bacterial small subunit ribosomal RNA", at positions 538 to 796 of the family's 1533-position model. The record is from RNAcentral.
GCGUUGUUCGGAAUCAUUGGGCGUAAAGCGUACGCAGGCGGUCUGGAAAGUCCGACGUGAAAUCCCAGGGCUCAACCCUGGAACUGCGUUGGAAACUAUCAGACUUGAGUAUGGGAGAGGUUCGUGGAAUUCCAGGUGUAGGGGUGAAAUCCGUAGAGAUCUGGAGGAACACCGGUGGCGAAAGCGACGGACUGGACUGAUAUUGACGCUGAGGCGCGAAAGCGUGGGUAGCAAACAGGAUUAGAAACCCCAGUAGUCC